RNAcentral lists this non-coding RNA (205 nucleotides) under Pseudosulfitobacter pseudonitzschiae. The record is from RNAcentral. Lineage: Bacteria; Pseudomonadati; Pseudomonadota; Alphaproteobacteria; Rhodobacterales; Roseobacteraceae.
CUAAGCCACCCCUACUUUGGUUCGGCGGGGUAACCCGUCGUUAAAGGGAACGCGGUGCGGGAAACCAUCCCCAAAUCCGUGACUGCCCCCGCAACUGUAAGCGGUGAGCGCGACCGUCAUAUGCCACUGGGGGGUCACCCUCGGGAAGGCACGGCCCCGCAUCGACCCGCAAGUCAGGAGACCUGCCAAAGCGAUCACCCGGAUA